CCUGUAAAAUGCUGCGAAAUAAUUAAAAAUAAACCGGAACGGAAGUGGAGAUGCGAGAUAUGGCAACAGUUGGCGGCAGAGGGUCCUUUGGUUUGGUUGGACUGAACUGGUGAUUCAUGAGUUGGCCGGAUGCAGGGCACGAAUUGAGGACAGGGCACAAAAUAAAAAAGUGGAAAGGAUAUAGCUGAGGGUGUUCGACUGUGAGAUACCCGGUAGCCAAAGUAUUGUGGAUAAAUUUGGACCUGGCUAAUUUUCCUUUUCAAAUUACAUUAUCUUAUAAAAAACUUAAAUUAAACAGUGUGGAAAGCAGAAGAAAAUAUUAACAAAUAAAGACAGAUGUUGCCAGGAACAUGUUGCGCAACAUCCAAGUAAAAAUAAAUGUUGCUAUAACCAUGUUGUGCAACACCCUAAACUUAAA
Drosophila kikkawai is the source of this 418-nucleotide long non-coding RNA. RefSeq lists it as uncharacterized. The record is from RefSeq and is a predicted model, not a curated record. Lineage: Eukaryota; Metazoa; Arthropoda; Insecta; Diptera; Drosophilidae.